RNAcentral lists this ribosomal RNA (325 nucleotides) under uncultured Bacteroidota bacterium. Its description in RNAcentral is "bacterial SSU rRNA". It matches the Rfam family "Bacterial small subunit ribosomal RNA", at positions 28 to 351 of the family's 1533-position model. The record is from RNAcentral. Lineage: Bacteria; Pseudomonadati; Bacteroidota.
GAUGAACGCUAGCGGCAGGCCUAAUACAUGCAAGUCGAACGGUAAGUGUAGUAGCAAUAUUAUACGAGAGUGACGUACGGGUGCGUAACACGUAUGCAACCUACCCUUUACAGGAGGAUAGCUCGGGGAAACUCGAAUUAACCCUCCAUGAUAUAAUUGAAUGGCAUCAUUUAAUUAUUAAAACUCCGGUGGUAAAGGAUGGGCAUGCGUCUGAUUAGUUAGUUGGUGCGGGUAACGGCCCACCAAGACGAUGAUCAGUAGGGGAACUGAGAGGUUGAUCCCCCACACUGGCACUGAGAUACGGGCCAGACUCCUACGGGGGCUG